CUCGCCAACAACGCAACUCAGGUUCAGUCCAUUGCAUCCCGUGGUUGCAAUCCAGCUCACCACUAUACCGCCCAGAUUUGAUCCCUCCAAUCCUCCUCGACACGGCUAUGGUGCCAACGAUUGUGCCUCCUUGAAGUUCUCCAGUGAUCCACCAACAAUACCACGUCCCGCGUUCAUCAUUGCUAGUACAAUGCCAUCAUCGACGAGUUUGUAAAAUACUUUCGCUCUGCGAGAGAGGAGAGCAGACCAUUCACCCCACCACCGGUCCAUGUCCAUCCCUGGCCGCCCGCUCCCACCGUGAUCCAGCAACGGUCGUUGCCGAUGCACCACUCCCGGCUCCUCUCUCAUCUCUUCUUCCCCCACCCCAUGCCCCAUUCUCUUGCUCGAGCUCCUCGCCGAUUUUACCGAUCGUUGGCCUCUGAUCUAGGGUUCGCUGCUGCCGGUCGCCAUUCACCUGUGUGCCUCAGGAGGAAACGGCUCCCUGGACCUUAUCCUUCUUCACAUUCUACCUCUACAGAUCAGGAACGCCUCGAUGGCCGUCUCUUCCGUUUCUCCUUUCUCUCCCUCCUUGCAAUACACCGGCCAUGAUUCAGGGAUGGAGAAGGGAGGGAGGUAGAGCCACCAUAUCAAGAGGUAGAGUGAAGGAGCCACGCUUGAGAACUUGGCGUGAGUUACUUUGGUCCAGCGGCUACCAAUGUUCCUUUUUUACUUCAGAGUUCUAAAAUCAUGUUGCCUUUCAAGAAUAAGAGGGAGAAAGGUCCAAACAAUCUUUCAAGAUUUGUCACACUCGAUGGAAACUGGAAGCAUCACUCUCCUUGGCUGAAAUCACAGUGGUCAAAUUAUAGAUCACAAGCUGUAGACGAAUUGUUUCUUCUGAUUUCCCAAUCUUCAGAUUGAACUGACCAAUCCGUGUGAUUGAGGAAUCCUUGUGGAGAAAAAGAAUUCAAGGAAAUCCGCAGCUCCGAAUACAGAGGAUUUCAAGAAAAAAAAAUUGUGCUGGAGCAAGAAAGGGAACAUGGUAAGGAGUGUGCCUACAAGAGUUUCUCUGUUCUCUUCUUAUUGGUUGCCAUAUGCAGCUUGCGGGUCUCAACUUAAUAAAUACAUCAACCGCGUACCGAAGGAAAAACUCAUUACAUGAAUCCUGAGUAGGUAUUUUCAGUCUUUCGCAAUGUAGUUUGUUUAUUUUUCUCUGCACCAUGAUGUGCUGAUAAAAUUUGGAUAAUCAAUCCAAUUUCCAGUGAUGAUGCCCUAGCUGAUCAUGCUUCUUUACCACAAUCAUUUUCCUGACAGUAGUUGUGCAUGCAGUACAUGUUUUCAGUUGAGCGAACCCUCUUUUAGUUAGAGAUCAAAAUUCAAGCCUGACAUGGCAUAUGAAUGCUCCCAGUUUAGCAAAAGCCGUGAUCUUUCCAACUUUGAGAGUUGAAGGAAAUCUCCGGAUAAAAAAUUGAAGAAUUCAUAUAGCACAGUACAGGGUGAGCAUCCACAUGACAGUUCUAAAGUUGUUUUUACCAUAUGGAAGUUCAUAAGUUAUGAUAAGAAUAAAAAUGCAAAGUUUCAAAAACUUAUGUUUCCAGCAUGAUGGCUCCCCUGUUUCUAUGGUAAUCUUUUUCAAAUAUUCUGAUCAUGGUCCUCUAAGCAUUCCUGGUUUGUCACUUGAGCCUGAACCGUGGGUCGCAGAUCCAACGGACAUUGAUGAAAUCCAUAGAAAAAAGCCUAGCUAACUCUUCAUAACAAAUGGACUGAGUUAGUGCGCGCACUCACCGGCCGGUGCUUCUCAGUUUUUUUAACAUGCUAUAGCAGCUAUACAAUAUCAGGUUUAUGGAAACAUAUUUCAAAAUUGGUAAUUAGUGUGUUCUAUUCUCCUUUCCUUGGAUAUUUCUUAUUCUAUUUUAGAAUUAUUAUUUUUCGUCCGCACUUUCAAGUAUUUAUGCGCCUGGGGUCUUUCAUUCUACAGCUGAACAAUUAUAUCUCAAAAUAGCUUGCGCUGCGCCCCCUAUAUUUGAUCCUUCUGCCCUCUUUUAAAUUCAACCUCUAAUUGACGUCUUCUUUCGUUGUUGUUGUAUAUACGUGCACCAAAUUAUACAAAAUGAAAUAUUGUGGAACAGGCAUAUUCAAAACUGUUUUUUGAAGUUAAAUAUCUAAUGUGAGAAGCCUAGAUAUAAGAAAUAUAGGUGUAAGGCGAUUGUUUUGAGGUGUCAAUGCAACUUACAGUACAUGGAUCUGGUUAGAACUUUGAUACUUCUUGCUUUGAUAUGCUGCUACGGUAGCUCAAUACCGAUGAAGCAGAAGGAUUGGUCAUGUCACCAAAUGGGUACCACACACAUAUAGAUUGUUGCUUGCUCUCACGGUCCAUGUCAUCCUCGAUCCAUGUUGGUAUGCAUCCUCUCCCUUUCCUUUCCUCUCUACUAAGUUGUCUCUCCUUUUCCUUUAAUUAUUCAUGUGAUCUUUUUUGCUCUGAGAAGCCCUUCAUGAUGCACAGAAGGAUUCAGUUUCUGAAUUCUUAUCAACAGGUUUCAGUUGUCUAUUGCAAAAAUGUUCUAUGUAUAUCAUGUGAGUUAAAGGGUCAACCAAAUGAUCAUAUAUGUAUUUAUAUAGAAUCAUAUCUAUCUAUUGGCAGCCAUGUCUGAUGCAUACAUCUUUGCUGAUUAAAAAAAUAUGCACAAAGACCUACGUGAAAUAGCUCGAUAAACAAAAAAUACUGCUCGACCGAUUUCUUCCUCUUAUUCACUGUUCCAUUUUAUAACACAAAGCGCUCACAUGGGCUCUCUUGGGCGAGGCGUGUCGCCGCACCUCUGCCUGCUAGUCAGGAUUAAUUGUUGCUAUCUAGAGUAUUUAUUGAAAGAUGUGUGAUCAGAGAAAAUUAGCUCUAAUCCUAGCGUAAUUAUGGGGAGCACACUUGAAAGCAUCGAUGGUAAAGGAUGUUUAGUUUGAAAACCCCAAGAGAUGGGUGGUAAUUUGAGGAAGUAAAUCUGACGCUCCACUGACUUGAUCCAAGGGCCAUGCACCGGUGUCAUUCCUAGCGGUCUCCUAUAAAAGGGGUACGGCAUCCGGAUCUGACCCA
Triticum dicoccoides is the source of this 3061-nucleotide long non-coding RNA. RefSeq lists it as uncharacterized. The record is from RefSeq and is a predicted model, not a curated record. The transcript has 5 exons. NCBI's taxonomy places the organism in Eukaryota, Viridiplantae, Streptophyta, Magnoliopsida, Poales, Poaceae.